Molecule: unclassified non-coding RNA, 218 nt
Filed under: fungal sp.
Lineage: Eukaryota; Fungi
Description: partial contains small subunit ribosomal RNA, internal transcribed spacer 1, and 5.8S ribosomal RNA
Rfam family: Eukaryotic small subunit ribosomal RNA (bases 1-46)
Source: RNAcentral
AAGUCGUAACAAGGUCUCCGUUGGUGAACCAGCGGAGGGAUCAUUAAAGAGUUGCAAAACUCCCACACCAUUGUGAACGUACCUACCCAACCGUUGCUUCGGCGGCGCGGCCCCCCGGGGACGCACCGCCGGCGGCACGCAAAACUAUGUCAUUUCUGGCCUCUCUGAGUAACUUAUUCAAUAAGUCAAAACUUUCAACAACGGAUCUCUUGGUUCUG